RNAcentral lists this ribosomal RNA (254 nucleotides) under uncultured bacterium. RNAcentral's name for it is "partial 16S ribosomal RNA". It matches the Rfam family "Bacterial small subunit ribosomal RNA", at positions 524 to 777 of the family's 1533-position model. The record is from RNAcentral.
UACGUAGGUGGCAAGCGUUGUCCGGAAUUAUUGGGCGUAAAGCGCGCGCAGGCGGCUUCUUAAGUCUGAUGUGAAAUCUCGGGGCUCAACCCCGAGCGGCCAUUGGAAACUGGGAGCUUGAGUACAGAAGAGGAGAGUGGAGUUCCACGUGUAGCGGUGAAAUGCGUAGAUAUGUGGAGGAACACCCAGUGGCGAAGGCGACUCUCUGGUCUGUAACUGACGCUGAGGCGCGAAAGCGUGGGGAGCAAACACGG